GUUUGUAGAAGCAGAUUGGUUCAUUUGUCAUACAGCCACUGACUUAAAUUUGUUUAGUUUGGUGCUGAAUGUAAUGAAUCCUGGUGAUGAAACUGGAAAACUUGGUUUUAAAACUCCAAGAGAUUGAACCUGGCCAACGGUUUAAGUGUUGGAAACCAUCACACCAAAAGCUGAUUGGCCAUCAGUGGUUGCCUGCUUACACGCCAGCUUACGAUGAAUAACAAACCAGCUCAUUGGUGACCAUGUUGCACUACUUCUCAAAUGUGUGUGGUGUCUAGCAGAUUGCUGUCAUUCGACAAAGACUAUGUGGAGCAUUUCCAGGUUAGUUUUCGUAUUGGGGUUUUACAUUUACAAAGUUUUAGAGCUGUGCUCGCGCAUUAGAUUGUAUGAAGUAUCAAAUUACCUUUUUUGAUUUGUGUGUGUUUUCCUUGGAAUUUUACAAACAAAUUGUUUAAGUGAAGGCUUAUUCAAUGGUGACAAAGCACAGAUCUAUCAUCUAUAGAGUCCUUUUCAUUACCCUCCACAAUCAAGCACGUCUAGCAGUUAAUACUCACUUGACGCUGGCAACGAUUUGCUUUAGUUGAUAUUUCAAGAGACAAUAAAUUAGGCUACUCAAA
Daphnia carinata is the source of this 617-nucleotide long non-coding RNA. RefSeq lists it as uncharacterized. The record is from RefSeq and is a predicted model, not a curated record. The transcript has 2 exons. NCBI's taxonomy places the organism in Eukaryota, Metazoa, Arthropoda, Branchiopoda, Diplostraca, Daphniidae.